RNAcentral lists this small RNA (174 nucleotides) under Dasypus novemcinctus (nine-banded armadillo). Its description in RNAcentral is "Nuclear RNase P (ENSDNOG00000038415.1)". It matches the Rfam family "Nuclear RNase P", at positions 72 to 254 of the family's 301-position model. From Rfam's summary of the family: Ribonuclease P (RNase P) is a ubiquitous endoribonuclease, found in archaea, bacteria and eukarya as well as chloroplasts and mitochondria. Its best characterised activity is the generation of mature 5'-ends of tRNAs by cleaving the 5'-leader elements of precursor-tRNAs. Lineage: Eukaryota; Metazoa; Chordata; Mammalia; Cingulata; Dasypodidae. The record is from RNAcentral.
UCUGAGAUUAGGGCCAGAAACAGCUCUAUCAGGGGUCUCCCUGAGCUUUGGGGAAGUGAGUACCCAGAGAACAGGGUUACACAGAAGGGUUUAACUGAACAAAUUUUGCUAAAGAGGGUGUGGCUGAACAUGGAUCAAACAUCUCAAGUCAUGAUUAGAAAUGCAAUUAUCCAG